This 62-nucleotide transfer RNA is filed under the name Pituophis catenifer bimaris. RNAcentral describes it as "tRNA-His". RNAcentral also lists the same sequence under 1 other name. The record is from RNAcentral. Lineage: Eukaryota; Metazoa; Chordata; Lepidosauria; Squamata; Colubridae.
GUGUAUGUAAUUUAAAAAAAAUAUCAAACUGUGAAUUUGACAUUGGAAAUAACCCCAUACAU